This 335-nucleotide unclassified non-coding RNA is filed under the name Hevea brasiliensis (rubber tree). The record is from RNAcentral. Lineage: Eukaryota; Viridiplantae; Streptophyta; Magnoliopsida; Malpighiales; Euphorbiaceae.
AUUUCCGUGUGUUUGCGUCUGUAUGUGUCUCAAUAAAUAAUUUUAGGGUAUAUUUGGAAUGUAGAGAGAAAUUUAAUGAAGAUUGUUACAGAAAGUGAUAAUCUUUCUGAAAUCCUAGAUUUUUAUACUCAUUAUGAAUUAUGCUGAAAGGAAACGUAAAAUGAUACUGAAGAUCUUUCCUUUCAACAUUCUAUAUUAUCUCCACAAAAUUCUGUGUGUGUAUAUAAUAUUUUAGGCAGGUAUAAUAUUUUUGCCAGUGGUUUUUACUUGCCCCUUUAGGUUCUGAGAGUUUACUUCUGUGUUUUGAUUGGCAGAGUUGAUGCUUCUGGGUUUCA